Molecule: long non-coding RNA, 552 nt
Organism: Mesocricetus auratus (golden hamster)
Lineage: Eukaryota; Metazoa; Chordata; Mammalia; Rodentia; Cricetidae
Exons: 5
Source: RefSeq, a predicted model, not a curated record
CUCUGGAGACAUGCCAAGGGACUCCAAAAGGCCACAGAGGAUUUCAACUAAAAUCCAAAAGCCACAGAGAGGUUUCCUGACAACACACCAUGGAAAAAAAGCCUCUACUCGCUCACCACUGCCACUACCUCAGCUGAGGUUACUGUGUUUGUGCAUCAACCCAGACUCUUCACAUUGAGGGGAAAAUGGAAUGAGAAAUUGCAGAGUUGAUGUUGAGUGGAACAGAGAGCAAAUAAAGACAAGACACAAAACAACACGCCUAUGGAGCAAUCUGUGGAAGUGGCAGAUGUGUUGAGGUCACAUGAAACGAUGCUGACGUCUGUUUCCCCCUCCUCGUGUCUGCUCACGAGGACCUUAGCUAUAGUUACAAAUGAUUGAAAUCUGGAGAUUAAAUGUCAGCGUCGGUUGGCUGCCCAAUACAAAUGGUUUUAUAUGUCGAGAACCUGGACACCAACAUGUAUUAGAGUGGGAAGAAAGGUAGAAUUGACCUGGAAUGAAAAGAUGCAACACACUUUCAACUUAAAAAAAAAGAAGAAAAACCCUGUACAAUGG